RNAcentral lists this ribosomal RNA (513 nucleotides) under uncultured bacterium. RNAcentral describes it as "partial 16S ribosomal RNA". It matches the Rfam family "Bacterial small subunit ribosomal RNA", at positions 28 to 523 of the family's 1533-position model. The record is from RNAcentral.
GACGAACGCUGGCGGCAUGCCUAAUACAUGCAAGUCGAGCGAACACAAGAGGAGCUUGCUCCUCUUGGUUAGCGGCGGACGGGUGAGUAACACGUGGGCAACCUGCCUGUAAGACUGGGAUAACACCGGGAAACCGGUGCUAAUACCGGAUAAUCCUUUUCCUCUCAUGAGGAAAAGUUAAAAGUCGGUUUACGCUGACACUUACAGAUGGGCCCGCGGCGCAUUAGCUAGUUGGUGAGGUAACGGCUCACCAAGGCGACGAUGCGUAGCCGACCUGAGAGGGUGAUCGGCCACACUGGGACUGAGACACGGCCCAGACUCCUACGGGAGGCAGCAGUAGGGAAUCUUCCGCAAUGGACGAAAGUCUGACGGAGCAACGCCGCGUGAGCGAUGAAGGCCUUCGGGUCGUAAAGCUCUGUUGUUAGGGAAGAGCAAGUAUCGGAGUAACUGCCGGUACCUUGACGGUACCUAACCAGAAAGCCACGGCUAACUACGUGCCAGCCGCCGCCGUAA